CGGCGGACGGGUGAGUAAUGCUUAGGAAUCUGCCUAUUAGUGGGGGACAACAUUUCGAAAGGAAUGCUAAUACCGCAUACGUCCUACGGGAGAAAGCAGGGGAUCUUCGGACCUUGCGCUAAUAGAUGAGCCUAAGUCGGAUUAGCUAGUUGGUGGGGUAAAGGCCUACCAAGGCGACGAUCUGUAGCGGGUCUGAGAGGAUGAUCCGCCACACUGGGACUGAGACACGGCCCAGACUCCUACGGGAGGCAGCAGUGGGGAAUAUUGGACAAUGGGCGCAAGCCUGAUCCAGCCAUGCCGCGUGUGUGAAGAAGGCCUUAUGGUUGUAAAGCACUUUAAGCGAGGAGGAGGCUACUGAAGUUAAUACCUUCAGAUAGUGGACGUUACUCGCA
This 392-nucleotide ribosomal RNA is filed under the name Acinetobacter calcoaceticus. RNAcentral describes it as "bacterial SSU rRNA". It matches the Rfam family "Bacterial small subunit ribosomal RNA", at positions 96 to 483 of the family's 1533-position model. Lineage: Bacteria; Pseudomonadati; Pseudomonadota; Gammaproteobacteria; Moraxellales; Moraxellaceae. The record is from RNAcentral.